CCUACGGGAGGCAGCAGUGGGGAAUUUUGGACAAUGGGGGCAACCCUGAUCCAGCCAUGCCGCGUGCGUGAAGAAGGCCUUCGGGUUGUAAAGCACUUUCGGCCGGAACGAAAUCGCGCGAUCUAAUAAGUCGCGUGGAUGACGGUACCGGAAGAAGAAGCACCGGCUAACUACGUGCCAGCAGCCGCGGUAAUACGUAGGGUGCGAGCGUUAAUCGGAAUUACUGGGCGUAAAGUGUGCGCAGGUGGCCGCGCAAGUCGAGUGUGAAAUCCCCGAGCUUAACUUGGGAAUUGCGCUCGAAACUACGUGGCUCGAGUGUGGCAGAGGAAGGUGGAAUUCCACGUGUAGCGGUGAAAUGCGUAGAGAUGUGGAGGAACACCGAUGGCGAAGGCAGCCUUCUGGGCCAACACUGACGCUCAUGCACGAAAGCGUGGGGAGCAGACAGGAUUAGAUACCCUGGUAGUCCACGCCCUAAACGAUGAUGACUAGUUGUUGGGGGAGUUAAAUCCCUUAGUAACGCAGCUAACGCGUGAAGUCAUCCGCCUGGGGAGUACGGUCGCAAGAUUAAAACUCAAAGGAAUUGACG
RNAcentral lists this ribosomal RNA (586 nucleotides) under uncultured bacterium. RNAcentral's name for it is "bacterial SSU rRNA". It matches the Rfam family "Bacterial small subunit ribosomal RNA", at positions 338 to 915 of the family's 1533-position model. The record is from RNAcentral.